CAACUUUUAACAACGGAUCUCUUGGUUCUCGCAUCGAUGAAGAACGCAGCAAAGUGCGAUAACUAGUGUGAAUUGCAUAUUCAGUGAAUCAUCGAGUCUUUGAACGCAACUUGCGCUCAUUGGUAUUCCAAUGAGCACGCCUGUUUCAGUAUCAAAA
Molecule: ribosomal RNA, 157 nt
Filed under: Mucor racemosus f. racemosus
Lineage: Eukaryota; Fungi; Mucoromycota; Mucoromycetes; Mucorales; Mucoraceae
Description: 5.8S ribosomal RNA
Rfam family: 5.8S ribosomal RNA
About the family: 5.8S ribosomal RNA (5.8S rRNA) is a component of the large subunit of the eukaryotic ribosome. It is transcribed by RNA polymerase I as part of the 45S precursor that also contains 18S and 28S rRNA.
Source: RNAcentral